GAUGAACGCUGGCGGCGUGCCUAAUACAUGCAAGUCGAGCGAACAGACGAGGAGCUUGCUCCUCUGACGUUAGCGGCGGACGGGUGAGUAACACGUGGAUAACCUACCUAUAAGUCUGGGAUAACUUCGGGAAACCGGAGCUAAUACCGGAUAAUAUAUUGAACCGCAUGGUUCAAUAGUGAAGGGCGGUUUUGCUGUCACUUAUAGAUGGUUCCGCGCCGCAUUAGCUAGUUGGUAAGGUAACGGCUUACCAAGGCAACGAUGCGUAGCCGACCUGAGAGGGUGAUCGGCCACACUGGAACUGAGACACGGUCCAGACUCCUACGGGAGGCAGCAGUAGGGAAUCUUCCGCAAUGGGCGAAAGCUUGACGGAGCAACGCCGCGUGAGUGAUGAAGGUCUUCGGAUCGUAAAACUCUGCUAUUAGGGAAGAACAAAUGUGGAAGUAACUAUGCACGUCUUGACGGUACCUAAUCAGAAAGCCACGGCUAACUACGUG
RNAcentral lists this ribosomal RNA (497 nucleotides) under uncultured bacterium. RNAcentral's name for it is "partial 16S ribosomal RNA". It matches the Rfam family "Bacterial small subunit ribosomal RNA", at positions 28 to 507 of the family's 1533-position model. The record is from RNAcentral.